GGGGGCGACAGGUUUCGACAGAGCCGUCCUGCUCUCGGAUGCGAGCCGAGGCGCCGCUGGCCUCGUAAAAAGCGGCAAAACAAGUAAUUGCGAAAAACGAUUACGCUCUCGCUGCCUAACUUAGUUAGACAGUAGCCCCGCAGGGCCGAGCCGGUAGGCUCUGCGACGGUUAGCCAAAUCCGGAUAGCGCGCUAAGCCGCCACCCGAGGCGAGGCGUUGCGAAACCAAUCGGGCAUGUCGUCUGGUGGCCCGUUCACCGGCAGCCUUUCGACGAGAUUAAUGGUGAACUACGCUCGUAGCAGCCCUGAGUAACGCGACUUUGGAAGGGGGUUCGAAUCCCCCCGCCUCCACCA
RNAcentral lists this transfer-messenger RNA (353 nucleotides) under Armatimonadota bacterium. It matches the Rfam family "transfer-messenger RNA". From Rfam's summary of the family: Bacterial tmRNA, also known as 10Sa RNA or SsrA, is named for its dual tRNA and mRNA-like properties. Its role is to liberate the mRNA from a stalled ribosome. Lineage: Bacteria; Bacillati; Armatimonadota. The record is from RNAcentral.